UGUCAGUCCUUGAGCAUCAUUCAAAGCCUGGCCAUCUACCACUUUGAAUGAAACGGAAUCGCCUCCCAGUGUCGCUCCUCAAGAUCAAACGGAUUCAUCACCUGCCAGAGUUGCCAUAAAUCUUGAAAAUUCUCUUGAUUGUACUAGUAAGUCUGUGUCUCAGGAGUGUGCAAGGGGCACUGUGAGCCAAGAAAGCGAGAAGAUUGUAGAAACAACAAAUGACAGUUUUGAUCAAGAAAUCAUGGUAGCUGAUGCGCCAAUGUCGACCACUGAGCGAGCCCAGUUGUAUGAGGAAAUCCAGAAUUUGCGAACAGAAUGGGACAAUGCUCUUCAGCGAGUUGCUUACCUUGAAAAACUCCUGAAAGAAACAAAUAUGUGUUCAGUCUGUGGAAGGAAAUGAUGAAAAAUGCCAAAUGAUGACAGGAAUCAAGUGGGCCACAUUCAUGAAAAUCUUCAUGUUUUUAUGCCAGUUUGUGGGCAACAACAGCACAAACAAAUCAAGUAUACCACUGCAAGAGCAACUCUUCUUAACUUUGGUGAAACUGAGGCACAAUUUGUCAUUUGAAUCAAUUGCAUUUUUGAAAGGACUUCCCAAAACGACUGCUAUUAAUUGUUUCUGGCGCUGGAUAGACUUGGUGAAUGAAAAUCUUGGUUUCAUGAUUAAAUGGCCUGACAAGAAUCUCUUUGCUUUUUUAAUUUUCGUCCAACCGAUAAAAGACCCCCCAAUAAUAUAUAUGCGCCUGGUCAUCAAGUCAAAGGGGAAGCAGACUAUCCUCAUGGAGUGUCAAAAUAACUCUGGUACUGGGAACUAGAGCCGCGUCGAGGGCACCCGCAACAAAGCCAUUUCUAGCUUCUAUUGGCCAACAAUGAUUCAGGACAUCAAUGAAUGGGCAUGGGCACAGAUUUGCCUUCUGGACAGAGAAAGCGUCCCCUCUUCUUCAGGGAACUCUACAGCCUGUCUUCAGGGUUCCAAAGGCAACCCCCUCUAUAUCUUACUAAACUUCAAUCAGACAGUUGCCAGAAGUAUUGACUGCCAACAUACAUGAAAAAGUUGUCCUUCGGGAAGGUGACCGUGGUAUAUGCACAUUGGCUCUUGUGUGCUCCAGAAUCGGAGACCUUGGUUCUCCAGACUCCUUCAGAAGACGGGCACAUUUUAAAUGGCUUAACAGUGUCUGGGCAUGGAGCAGGUUCUGUGCAGAAUUCAGGAGAGAAUAUUACAACAUGUACACCAUUGAGAUCUGCCAUGGGUAUGGGGAGCAGUUCAAACAAUCCUCACGAAGU
Molecule: long non-coding RNA, 1281 nt
Organism: Corythoichthys intestinalis (scribbled pipefish)
Lineage: Eukaryota; Metazoa; Chordata; Actinopteri; Syngnathiformes; Syngnathidae
Exons: 4
Source: RefSeq, a predicted model, not a curated record